This 1340-nucleotide long non-coding RNA is filed under the name Nicotiana benthamiana. RNAcentral describes it as "long non-coding RNA (NBEN_LNC015940)". The record is from RNAcentral. Lineage: Eukaryota; Viridiplantae; Streptophyta; Magnoliopsida; Solanales; Solanaceae.
UUGUUUAGUAUCAGUUUCUUCUCUUUCAACUGAUAGUUAUAUAUUAGUAGCUUUAUGUGUGAUGUAUAAUUUUAGUUUGGUACUAUAACUUGAAAACAAAACAACAUCGUAAAGAAUUUACUGAAACUGGAAUGUAAUGGUUGUUGUGGUAAGUUUUGUUUUUCAUAUAUGAGUUUGGAGUUCUUACACUUUUAUGUUUCAAUAGACUUAUCUUUUUGUCAUAUAUCUGAUGAAGAUUAAGGAAAAGACUUUCUAUAAAGAUCAGUAGUUAAAUAAUAUGUAAAUCUCCAGAUAGCAUAUCCUUUUUGUUUUUGUUUUGAGUGCAAAAUAUUAUGGUAAGGCUUCCUGAACUUACCAUUGUUUUGUUAUGUGCCAGGAAUUAGUGUUGCUAGUUGCUAGAAAUACAGUCUAUAGAAAUCAAGGUCAUGCUAGGAUUUGGGCAAACUGAUACCUUCUUCUUCUUUUUGUAAAUCUUUUUGUCCGAACAACUUAGGGAUACAACCUCUCUAUCCUCACAAGGUAGGGGUAAGGUCUGCAUAAAUACUACUUUCCUAGACAACUGUGUGGAAUAAUACUAGGUAUAUUAUUGUUGUUGUUGUUUGAACAACUUGCUGUUAUAAUCAGUUUACUAAUAUAAACUGAUGCGGUUAGCGUGCUCUUGAAUCAUUUUGUUUGCAUAAUCCUUUUUCUUUUUGUGCUAAUUCUGAUAGUUCCUCCUGUAAAGGACUCUUUUUGUUGUUGAAGUAUUUUUCUAGUUUCUAAUGUUAUGUUGUCUAUUUCAUUUACUGCCUUCUAGUUGGGUAUGCAACUCUGCCAAUGUUUCACUUUUGAUUGUUGGUAGUUCAACAUUUAGACCAGCAUCUUGCAAUGGAAAGGAAAGCAGUAGAUCAUCUAUGGUAUAUUAUUUAUGCUUUUGUGGUUUAUACAUCAUUCCAUGUGAUAAUUUCUUUUCAUGGAUUCCAGGUAAUUGAAGAAAAGAACUUUAGCAUACUUCCAAUAAAUAACUCUUUUAUUGCCCACAUGACAUAUUGCUUGGUUCAGUUUAAAAACUCUACCCUAUUCCACAAGAGCAAUGCUUAUCCUGGACCUCACUAUUUAUAUUUUAGCAUUCAACUAAAUUUAUUUUAUGCCUUUUAUUUUUUAAUUAAUUGUAUGUAACCAAAUCUAGUAAUGAUUGGAUUUUUGAUGGUUUUGUUGGUGAAGCUAAUGAACAAGGGUAGAUGAAUACGAUGAAGACCUUGCUGAAGAGUAUUAGUUGAUCGCUCAUAGACUUUAAGAUGUUGUAGAAUCUUGUAUUUUAAAUUAUUUUGCAAUCUUAUGUAUUAACUCUUAAAUUGUAU